RNAcentral lists this ribosomal RNA (468 nucleotides) under uncultured bacterium. RNAcentral describes it as "partial 16S ribosomal RNA". It matches the Rfam family "Bacterial small subunit ribosomal RNA", at positions 28 to 507 of the family's 1533-position model. The record is from RNAcentral.
GACGAACGCUGGCGGCGUGCUUAACACAUGCAAGUCGAACGGAAAGGCCCUUCUCUUUUGGGGUGCUCUAGUGGCGAACGGGUGAGUAACACGUGAGUAACCUGCCCUUGACUUUUGUAUAACUUCAGGGAACUGAGGCGAAUACCGUAUAGGAGCUCCUGCUGCAUUGUGAUGGUUGGACAGUUUCGGCUGUUGGUGAUGGACUCGCGGCUUAUCAGCUUUUUGGUGAGGUAGUUGCUUACCAAGGCUUUGCAGGGUAGCCGGCGUGAGAGGGUGACCGGCCACAUGGGGACAGAGAUACGGCCCAGAGUACUACGGGAGGCAGCAGUGGGGAAUAUAGCACGAUGGGCGGACGCCUGAUGAAGCAACGCCGCGUGCGGGAUGAGGGCCUUUGGGUUGUAAGACGCUGUCGCGUGUGAUGAAGCGUGAGUGAGGGUAAUGGGUAAAGAAGCACCGGCUCAAUACGUG